RNAcentral lists this ribosomal RNA (347 nucleotides) under uncultured bacterium. RNAcentral's name for it is "partial 16S ribosomal RNA". It matches the Rfam family "Bacterial small subunit ribosomal RNA", at positions 338 to 682 of the family's 1533-position model. The record is from RNAcentral.
CCUACGGGUGGCAGCAGGGAGGAAUAUUGGUCAAUGGGCGGAAGCCGGAACCAGCCAAGUAGCGUGCAGGAUGACGGCCCUACGGGUUGUAAACUGCUGUUAUACGGGAAUAAAGCGCCUUACGUGUAGGGCUUUGCAUGUACCGUAUGAAUAAGGACCGGCUAAUUCCGUGCCAGCAGCCGCGGUAAUACGGAAGGUCCGGGCGUUAUCCGGAGUUAUGGGGGUUAAAGGGAGCGUAGGCCGCAUGUCAAGCGUGCUGUGAAAUGUCCGGGCUCAACCCGGGCCUGGCAGCGCGAACGGGCGUGCUUGAGUCCGCGGCAAGCAGGCUGCAUUCGUCUUGUAGCGGU